UACGAAGGGGGCAAGCGUUGUUCGGAAUUACUGGGCGUAAAGGGCGCGUAGGCGGCCGAUCAAGUCAGGCGUGAAAUUCCCGGGCUCAACCUGGGGGCUGCGCUUGAUACUGAUUGGCUUGAAUGCGGGAGAGGAUAGUGGAAUUCCCAGUGUAGAGGUGAAAUUCGUAGAUAUUGGGAAGAACACCGGUGGCGAAGGCGGCUAUCUGGCCCGUAAUUGACGCUGAGGCGCGAAAGCGUGGGGAGCAAACAGG
RNAcentral lists this ribosomal RNA (253 nucleotides) under uncultured bacterium. RNAcentral's name for it is "partial 16S ribosomal RNA". It matches the Rfam family "Bacterial small subunit ribosomal RNA", at positions 524 to 776 of the family's 1533-position model. RNAcentral also lists the same sequence under 1 other name. The record is from RNAcentral.